Molecule: long non-coding RNA, 470 nt
Filed under: Nicotiana benthamiana
Lineage: Eukaryota; Viridiplantae; Streptophyta; Magnoliopsida; Solanales; Solanaceae
Description: long non-coding RNA (NBEN_LNC014778)
Source: RNAcentral
UUAAUGAAACCCGCCAGUUAUUAUGAACUCAAAUAAAAAAAUAUGGAUUUUGAAGGCUUGUUCAAAAGAAAAAAAGACGUGGGUGGCAUUAUGACUGGUGUGUCAGUUAGAAAGGUUCUUACAAUGUUCGUUCAAUCAAGCAGCAUCCUUUUUUUCUUAACUUAAGGAGAGGGAAGAGGGCUUUCUAAGAAGGGCUUGGGACCUAUGAACAGAACAACACAACAAAAUGAUGAAAUGAAGAAGAAUGAACGGGAGGCAUCGGAGGAAGGACUGACGAACUUCUUACUUGUGUUUGGUUAACUACUUUACUGACUUGGGGUUCUUUCUCGUAAGUGGUAUACCUACACCCCGCACGCNNNNNNNNNACUUUCAAAAGAAAUUGAACAUGAUUUUUGCAUGUAAGUUGUAUACCUACACCCCGCACGCACACUCACUAUAUCUAUUUACGUAUAAGUUUCUAGCCUUUCGAA